This 492-nucleotide ribosomal RNA is filed under the name uncultured bacterium. RNAcentral describes it as "partial 16S ribosomal RNA". It matches the Rfam family "Bacterial small subunit ribosomal RNA", at positions 29 to 507 of the family's 1533-position model. The record is from RNAcentral.
AGUGAACGCUGGCGGUAGGCCUAACACAUGCAAGUCGAACGGCCGCACAGUAAGAGCUUGCUCUUACGGGUGGCGAGUGGCGGACGGGUGACGCAUACAUCGCAAUCUUAUUUUUCGGGGGGGACAACGGAGGGACGCUUACACUAAUAGCUAAUACUAUCUACGGGUGGAAGCAAGAGAUAUUGACAGUCUUGGUGUCUGUAAUAGCUGGUGGCGGAUUAGAUAGUUGGGGGGGUAAGGGAACACCAAGGCGACGAUACGUAGCUGGUCUGAGAGGAUGAUCAGCCACACUGGAACUGAGACACGGUCCAGACUCCUACGGGAGGCAGCAGUGGGGAAUAUUGGACAAUGGGCGCAAGCCUGAUGCAGCCAUGCCGCGUGGGUGAUGAAGGUCUUCGGGUUGUAAAGCUCUUUUGUUGGGAAAGAAAAGCAGCAGGUGAAUCCGUCGCUGUCCUGACGGUACCUAAUGAGAAAGCACCGGCUAACUACGUG